RNAcentral lists this ribosomal RNA (307 nucleotides) under Blastocystis sp. RNAcentral's name for it is "SSU rRNA". It matches the Rfam family "Eukaryotic small subunit ribosomal RNA", at positions 17 to 331 of the family's 1831-position model. Lineage: Eukaryota; Bigyra; Opalinata; Blastocystidae. The record is from RNAcentral.
CCAGUAGUCAUACGCUCGUCUCAAAGAUUAAGCCAUGCAUGUGUAAGUAUAAAUAAUUUUACUUUGAAACUGCGAAUGGCUCAUUAUAUCAGUUAUAGUUUAUUAGAAAUACUUUACUACUUGGAUAACCGUAGUAAUUCUAGGGCUAAUACAUGACUAAAUCCUCAACUUCGGAAGAGGUGUGUUUAUUAGUAUGAAAACCAUAUAUCUUCGGAUAUAAUAGUGAGUAAUAAUAACCUUUCGUAUCGUAUGUCGUAAGAUAACGAUAGUUCUUUCAAGUUUCUGCCCUAUCAGCUUUCGAUGGUAG